RNAcentral lists this unclassified non-coding RNA (224 nucleotides) under uncultured fungus. RNAcentral's name for it is "sequence contains ITS1". The record is from RNAcentral. Lineage: Eukaryota; Fungi.
UUGCUUUAAUUUAAUCAUAGACUCAGACAUAUGACACGAUUCAUUCAGAGUUUGAGUGGUUGGCCAUCGGCGGACGCGGGCCAGAGGACGCCUUUCAGCGGUCCUCCGGCGGCCGUGAGACGGGCCCGCCGAAGCAACAGAGGUUCAAUAAACAUAGGGUUGGGAGGUCGGGCCUGGAAGACCCUAACUCGUUAAUGAUCCUUCCGCAGGUUCACCUACGGAAA